Molecule: non-coding RNA, 434 nt
Organism: Sesamum indicum (sesame)
Lineage: Eukaryota; Viridiplantae; Streptophyta; Magnoliopsida; Lamiales; Pedaliaceae
Source: RefSeq, a predicted model, not a curated record
GGCGUUACUGGCCCCAAUGGGAAUGGCCUUGGGGCACUUGAGGAUUCCCCUGCUUCCAAUCUUGGACGUACAUUUAUGUUAUAGUCGGGCCAGCAAGGGACUGCAAGUCUACCUACGGAAAAUGCAACAUUAUGAUUAUAAGAUACAUAUGGCCAUGCAAAUAUUUGCUGGUCAUUUAGCACCUAAUAUGGACGUCAUUAUGAGUCAAGGAACAACAUGAGACAUCUUAUUUCUUCAGCAUGUGUAAGGCCAAUGUCGGACAGAGUCUCAGAGAUUGUAGUUUUCCCCACAGAGGUUGUAACCAUCACCGUCACCGAUUGCAUGCAAGACGUGAUUUUGCUGGUGUUUUCCACCAACCAAUGUGUAAGCCAUCUGGUUCCUUUCACCUUGCGAAUGUAGACAAAUACUAGUUGGUCUGCCCACGACGUAAGUGC